RNAcentral lists this ribosomal RNA (795 nucleotides) under Aerococcus sp. C179-PCA-T3P21. RNAcentral describes it as "bacterial SSU rRNA". It matches the Rfam family "Bacterial small subunit ribosomal RNA", at positions 50 to 827 of the family's 1533-position model. The record is from RNAcentral. Lineage: Bacteria; Bacillati; Bacillota; Bacilli; Lactobacillales; Aerococcaceae.
UAUACAUGCAAGUCGAGCGAACAGAUGAAGUGCUUGCACUUCUGACGUUAGCGGCGAACGGGUGAGUAACACGUAAGGAAUCUACCUAUAAGCGGGGGAUAACAUUCGGAAACGGGUGCUAAUACCGCAUAAUAUCUUCUUCCGCAUGGAAGAAGAUUGAAAGACGGCUCUGCUGUCACUUAUAGAUGACCUUGCGGUGCAUUAGUUAGUUGGUGGGGUAACGGCCUACCAAGACGAUGAUGCAUAGCCGACCUGAGAGGGUGAUCGGCCACAUUGGGACUGAGACACGGCCCAAACUCCUACGGGAGGCAGCAGUAGGGAAUCUUCCGCAAUGGGCGAAAGCCUGACGGAGCAAUGCCGCGUGAGUGAAGAAGGCCUUCGGGUCGUAAAACUCUGUUAUAAGAGAAGAACAAAUUGUAGAGUAACUGCUACAGUCUUGACGGUAUCUUAUCAGAAAGCCACGGCUAACUACGUGCCAGCAGCCGCGGUAAUACGUAGGUGGCAAGCGUUGUCCGGAUUUAUUGGGCGUAAAGGGAGCGCAGGUGGUUUCUUAAGUCUGAUGUGAAAGCCCACGGCUUAACCGUGGAGGGUCAUUGGAAACUGGGAAACUUGAGUACAGAAGAGGAAUGUGGAACUCCAUGUGUAGCGGUGGAAUGCGUAGAUAUAUGGAAGAACACCAGUGGCGAAGGCGACAUUCUGGUCUGUUACUGACACUGAGGCUCGAAAGCGUGGGGAGCAAACAGGAUUAGAUACCCUGGUAGUCCACGCCGUAAACGAUGAGUGCUAGGUGUUGGA